RNAcentral lists this long non-coding RNA (241 nucleotides) under Capsicum annuum. RNAcentral's name for it is "long non-coding RNA (CANN_LNC011648)". Lineage: Eukaryota; Viridiplantae; Streptophyta; Magnoliopsida; Solanales; Solanaceae. The record is from RNAcentral.
AAAAAUUAAAGGCAUAUAGUUGAGAUGGAUGGGUAACUGCGUAUAUACAUAGAGCACUACCAAUGCUCCAUGCCUUCAUUUUUCAACAUCUCACUCAAUUUAUCAUGCUAAUAAGUUUCUAGAAUUCAAUACAUAUCUAUUAUAACUCCAUUUCCAUUAUCUCCAAAAUGCCCUCAGUUUUUUUACCUACGAAGGUUAGAGCUGCCUACUCGGAACUUGGAAGGGGUACAAUUACAACACC